GGCUGCACCUACAGGGCUGCACACUUCAGAGGACUUUUUAUAGACAGCGCCACCUACCGCAAUAGAUGAUCACUAACGUGCACAAUUUACGUUUUAAAUUGGUGAUUUCACUCAAAAUACACUUACAAUACAAAAGGCUUAUUCAGGAAGAAUUCCCCGUUCAUUUUAACCCCUGUCAGUUUUUCUACACAGCCGGAGGCUGCACUUUCAGGAACACACUGAUAGGACCGCAGUUUAAGGGCCGCCAACUUCUUCUCGGGCCCCGUUGUUCGUGUUUCCCACUGUGUUGAUGCUAAACGAAGUAGCAGCAUUUAUCGCCAUGAUGGACGACGGUAACCAUAUGGACAUCCCUUUGAUAGAGAAGUGGUGGUGUCUUCUUCCCAUGGAGCGUUUCCAAACAGAGGGGUACGACAACCUGAAACAAAAUGUGUAUAUAGAUUUUAGUGGCAAGUUAGGAGUUCACUUCCACUUCAUCAAACUGAUAACACACUAUCAGUGCCAUGUCAGUAGAACAUCUGAUAACUACAUUAAGUUCAUCAGACUGUGGAUGGCAGUCUUUGUCGAGAGUAUUUGUGCAUGUCAUUUUUUUCACCAGUGUAUUCGCUUUUUCCCAUUAUUUAUCUUAGAUGAAUAUUUAUGUUCGAAAUAUAUAGCCAGAGGUUCGCUUUCUGGACUAAUGAAGCCAGAAGCCUGCUCCAGGGAACCCUGAAGCCUGUUUACACAGUGCCAAGGCGGGGUGCUGUCACUGAUGAAGUUCUGCUCUAUAUGCAGGCUGUCACUGAACGCACUGCAAAGGAAACCAGACUGGUGGACUUCAUUAUCCAGUCAAAGGGAAUUGAGGAGUAUUUGGUGGUACUUUGAAAAUGUUCCUGUUUUCUCAUCAUUGCAGACUGACUCAGAAAAGAUUCACUUAGGGCCUUUGUUAGUAAUAUUAUCAGUGGACAGAACACUUUUUGGCUGUGUUUCAAAUGAAUAACUGAGUUCCAGAAAUUCAUUGUUUCUAUACUUUGGUUUGCCCUCAGGAUGUACUUAGUGGCAAACACUCUACUUGGAUUCAUCAGAAACCUUGUUGCCAGAUGCCUGUCUACCUGGAUAGUGAGGAACAACAGGACAAGCUUUUUGCAUUCUUAAAGACUGUACUGCACAGAGGACCACAACACAACUGAGCUUCACAGAUGAAGUUGUGUUCAUCUUUGAUGUUCUCUUUCCAGAGGCCAUCAUAUAUGGCCUGUCUAUGCAGGACAAUCUGCCCCUGCAUGAGGCUGAGCAGGUCUUCUUCAGUGGUCCAGCUUACCAUCAAAGUGAAGUGGAGGAGUUUUGUCAAAGGAUUUAAAAAGACCUGAAGAAAGAAGGCAGACUGUUCAGUUGGUAAGUGGUGCUCAUUUCAAAAGGAGGUAUAUUGGCAUGAAAUGUAAAAAAUAAAAUACAUUAUUCCAAAGUAAAUAAGUGAAAUAUGUACAGUUUAUCAGAUAUAUCAGUGCUAUAUCUACUUAUGCUUAUUAAUGUCUGUCUGUGUGUCUCUAUCAGAAGGAAGUGAGAUCAGAGGUUUAGCAGCGGGAGUCAUAGACUUCACUUACUUGUGUGUGCGUGCGUGCGUGCGUGCGUGCGUGCGUGCGUGCGUGCGUGCGUGCGUGCGUGCGUGCGUGCGUGCGUGCGUGCGCGCGUGCGUGCGUGCGUGCGUGCGUGCGUGCGUGCGUGUGUGCGCGCGUGCGUGUGAGAGAGAGGCACUGGAGAAGGUUAGUGAACACAGUGAAACAGAAAUGUGUAUGUGUGUUUGUCUGCAGACAUUGCGUGUUGAGUUGUUUUAUGUGUCCUUGUAAUGAGAAUAAAGAGUUUUUCUCGCAUUUUGCUUUGGAGAGAUGCCAGUAAUUGUCAUUGUCCUGCUGAAGGUGGCAACUGACAUCAAGGACUGCUGGGAAAUGGGGGUUAGAUGGGUGGGGGGGGUGCCUGACUCGCAAUGUUUAGGUACAUGGUACAUGUCAAACAUCCACAUGAAUGUUAGGACUCAAAGUUUCUCAGCAGAUUAUUGCAUUGUAACAGGAUGAUUGAUGUUAUUCACUUCACCUGUCAGUGGUCAUAAUGUUGUGGCUGAUUGAUGUAUGUCCUGACAGAGCUGCAUUACAUGCAAGAGGUGGAAACAGUAACCUGCUGAUUUCAUGCACAUGUUCUGGUUGUACCAACAACUAUCAGAGUUUAUACAUGCAAUAUUUAACACACUAAACUCAAAUCCAGUUAUUUAUAUGCCACCAUUGUGUCCAGGUUUUGUCCAGUCUGCUGGUAUCUGUGGCUCCAUGGGUGCACAUUUGUGGUCAGUUUGGUCCAUAUCCACAAAACUCACCAUCAUUCAGCAAACAACUUUUGCAGCACUUUGCUUCACUUUACAUUCAUCUUUGGAUUGACCGUGUCUUUAGAUUCAAAUAUCUGCUGUUUAGAGUGAUGAAAGAAUUGUGUAUUGCUCUCACCAUAAGCUAAACAAAGCUUACAUGACUUUCAGUCUCAGUUGGAAGCACAAUAUAAGCUGUAUAUAAAUUACAACGUUAGCUCUGUUAAGCUUGCUCAUGUAUAUGCCACUUAUUCAAAGUUUAUCUUGAUUGCAAGUGCUGUAUUCACAGUUUCUGCUUAAAAACUGCAUGUUCAAUAAUAUUUAGAUUUUAUGCUAUUGCAUAAACGGUUGCAUUUGUAGAGAAUGUGUCUAACCAUCAGACCAUUUACAUGUUAUCCAAAUGACCCAAAAUAGUUAUAAGGCUUUUAUCUUAUUUGAGCCAAAAGAUGUAUUUAAUUACAAUUUGUAAAACCUCAUCAUGCUCUUGUCUUUCUAUGGUGAUGAAAUUCAGAUUUAAUAUAAAAGAAAUAGCUUCAAGGCUGUACUUGAUUCACAUUCACCAUCCCUGCUAAUAACCUGCAACAACAUACUGAGUAUAAGUCACAUUUUGGAGCUGUACUUUAUCUGGCUGUUGCUGGUGUACACUGUUGUCCUCUGGAUGUUAUUAGUUUUUAAAGGGAACUUGUAGCUUUUUCUUUAAUGGUCAAAUUGUUUUUUUUUCUUUGCUAUUUUGUGUCUUGUAUUCAGUUGUAUUUGUGUCAUUGUGUGAAGUAUGGCUGUCAUUGUAAGGAUCUCCUUCCCACAGUAGAUGUGUCAAUUGCCCAGCAGGAUCAUACCUGCUUGGGUGGCUGUAUUUUUCUUCUGUAUUCUGUAGUGCUUUAAAAAAAAAAAAAGAUGUUUAUUGUGAUUUGGACUAGUUGCUUUUGUACUUGCUUGCUGAUGUCUGUAAAGUUGAAUGGGGGAGUUCAUUCCAGAGGAAAAGUGGAGGAACUACUAAUGUGAAGAUUGAAUAUUAAGAUGUACUACUUGUUAGAUGUGUUCCACAUCACUAUGUAUGUUAUUUUCUAUGUUUUGCAUGACAUGCAGGUAAUUGGAAUGAUUUAUGUUGUCUGGAUGUUGUCAUUAAACUGGUUCUCAUAGAAACAAUGUCAUGUUAACUUUAUUUUGAAACAAUAAAUUCAAAGUUAAGACAUGUUA
Molecule: long non-coding RNA, 3520 nt
Organism: Amphiprion ocellaris (clown anemonefish)
Lineage: Eukaryota; Metazoa; Chordata; Actinopteri; Pomacentridae
Exons: 4
Source: RefSeq, a predicted model, not a curated record